GUGGGGAAUAUUGCGCAAUGGGGGAAACCCUGACGCAGCAACGCCGCGUGAGUGAUGAAGGCCUUCGGGUCGUAAAGCUCUGUCAGGUGGGAAGAAUAGACUGGUUCUGAAUAGGGGCCGGUUUUGACGGUACCGCCAAAGGAAGCACCGGCUAACUCCGUGCCAGCAGCCGCGGUAAUACGGAGGGUGCAAGCGUUGUUCGGAAUUAUUGGGCGUAAAGCGCGUGUAGGCGGCCCUUUAAGUCAGGUGUGAAAGACCUUAGCUCAACUGAGGAAUGUCACCUGAAACUAUAGGGCUUGAGUACGGGAGAGGAGAGUGGAAUUCCCGGUGUAGAGGUGAAAUUCGUAGAUAUCGGGAGGAACACCCGUGGCGAAGGCGACUCUCUGGACCGAUACUGACGCUGAGACGCGAAAGCGUGGGGAGCAAACAGGAUUAGAUACCCGGGUAGUCC
This 451-nucleotide ribosomal RNA is filed under the name uncultured bacterium. RNAcentral's name for it is "bacterial SSU rRNA". It matches the Rfam family "Bacterial small subunit ribosomal RNA", at positions 354 to 796 of the family's 1533-position model. The record is from RNAcentral.